UACGAAGGGGGCUAGCGUUGUUCGGAAUUACUGGGCGUAAAGCGCACGUAGGUGGACAGCUUAGUCAGGGGUGAAAGCCCGAGGCUCAACCUCGGAAUUGCCUCUGAUACUGGCUGUCUGGAGUUCGAGAGAGGUGAGUGGAAUUCCUAGUGUAGAGGUGAAAUUCGUAGAUAUUAGGAAGAACACCGGUGGCGAAGGCGGCUCACUGGCUCGAUACUGACACUGAGGUGCGAAAGCGUGGGGAGCAAACAGG
RNAcentral lists this ribosomal RNA (253 nucleotides) under uncultured bacterium. RNAcentral describes it as "partial 16S ribosomal RNA". It matches the Rfam family "Bacterial small subunit ribosomal RNA", at positions 524 to 776 of the family's 1533-position model. The record is from RNAcentral.